AUCUUUAGGGUGUCCCAA
This 18-nucleotide unclassified non-coding RNA is filed under the name Mus musculus (house mouse). RNAcentral describes it as "oocyte_clustered_small_RNA12633". Lineage: Eukaryota; Metazoa; Chordata; Mammalia; Rodentia; Muridae. The record is from RNAcentral.